GUAAGUCUGGUUCCUUGAAGCAGUACCGUUGUUGCCACUUGAUAUUGAGGAUGAGAUUACUGUGCUACUUACAGGCCUUGGCUGCCCAUCUGAAAAUAUUGGGGUAUCUAGCCAUAGGUUAGGUGAGCGUGCUCCAUCAAAACCAUAUCUGGGAUCUUGAUAACCACCAGAUGUAGGAGUGCGACCUGGCAAAUCAAAUCACCUCUUAUAAAUCAUUCAACAGAAAAUCGAAUAUGAAUUUCGAUAGGGCUGUUCAACAGGUGCAUCAAAAUUCUUACCUUUAGCAUUCACACCAUUUGUGCCAGCAUUGGUAUUUCCAUUAGCUGCUUCCACAGAAAGAGGCUUUUGAUCAGCAGCUACAGAUGUGGAAUUAUCACCCUGAGGAUGGGCAGCAGAAGUUGGCGUGAAUGGCCCACUGGUUGGUGUCAACGGCUGAAAAAAGGGAGGAUACUGAUAGUGUUGAGGGCCAUACAACUGACCAUCAUUUCCCAUGGUUGGAACUGGAGAACCAGCUGGAGAGUAGGGAGCAUAGGGUGCAUAUCCAUAUCCAUGGUGAUACACCAGAGACGACCCAUUAUCCCCAUAGACUCC
Molecule: long non-coding RNA, 591 nt
Filed under: Medicago truncatula (barrel medic)
Lineage: Eukaryota; Viridiplantae; Streptophyta; Magnoliopsida; Fabales; Fabaceae
Description: long non-coding RNA (MTRU_LNC006563)
Source: RNAcentral